CUCCCCGCAGGCGGGAGUGGGGUGGGAGGGGAGCGAGCGCGUUGGUGACGCGGGGCGCUCACGUGACGUGGAGCUGCAGAGCGACGCAGCCUUCGGUGCAGUCGUCACUCCCGUCUGGGUACCUGCUCCCCGGUGUCCUGCGCCCCGCGGGCUGGCGUCAGGCCCGAGGAAAGCGGAGCAGAUCUGCCUGCAGGUCUGCUGUAGGGCUUGAGAUUACUGGAAGCAAAGAAACAAGGACGAAAUUGCCCCUGAUCAGUAUAGACUGGUCCACAGAUCUCAUGAGUUAA
RNAcentral lists this long non-coding RNA (287 nucleotides) under Canis lupus familiaris (dog). RNAcentral's name for it is "lncRNA (ENSCAFG00040017407.1)". Lineage: Eukaryota; Metazoa; Chordata; Mammalia; Carnivora; Canidae. The record is from RNAcentral.